AUAUACAGUUGUGGAAAAAAUUGUUAGACCAUUAAAAGUUGUCAAAAACAAUGGUUAUGCAAUCAAGUCCUAACUCC
Sphaeramia orbicularis (orbiculate cardinalfish) is the source of this 77-nucleotide long non-coding RNA. RefSeq lists it as uncharacterized. The record is from RefSeq and is a predicted model, not a curated record. The transcript has 3 exons. Lineage: Eukaryota; Metazoa; Chordata; Actinopteri; Kurtiformes; Apogonidae.